Long non-coding RNA from Vidua chalybeata, 426 nucleotides. RefSeq lists it as uncharacterized. The record is from RefSeq and is a predicted model, not a curated record. The transcript is spliced from 3 exons. Lineage: Eukaryota; Metazoa; Chordata; Aves; Passeriformes; Viduidae.
UUUGAAUGGAGAAACGUAUGGACUCUGGAUACAUGAAGGGAAUUCAGGGAGGAGAAAACAAGCAAUAUGAACAUGGGAGAGAUUUGCACGUGCAUGUAAAUCCUGCACUUGCUCCUGGGAAUGCUGGCUGCUUUUCUAGUGCAUAUUCCCAUGGUCCCCAGGAUUUUCUGUGUUAAGAGUCUGAUCCCUCUCCCCUCUGACUGGGUCUUGCUUCUGGCUGAAGAUUGAGAGAAUAGAUGGAUAUUGGCAGUCUGCAAGAGAAGAGGUACCAGAUUUGCUCUUGAGCUGGAUUCUCCUCCAAAAAGAAGAAAUAAUAAGCAAUUGAGACAGGAUGGCUUUUUGGAAGGACUUCUUGCAAAGACUUCUUGGAUUCAAAGAAGAAAUGACACUAUCUGAGAUGGACAGAGCUACUCCAGAAGCUUCAGG